CAGUAGGGAAUAUUGCGCAAUGGGCGAAAGCCUGACGCAGCGACACCGUGUGUAGGAUGAAGGUCUUCGGAUUGUAAACUACUGUCAGUUGAAGACGAAGGCAGUAGAGUUAAGAGCUCGAAUGUUGACGGUAUUCAAUUAGGAAGUCUCGGCUAACUCCGUGCCAGCAGCCGCGGUAAGACGGAGGAGGCAAGCAUUGUCCGGAAUUAUUGGGCGUAAAGAACACGUAGGCGGUUUAUCAAGUCAUAUGUGAAAACCUUGGGCUUAACUUAAGGAUUGCAUAUGAUACUGGUAAACUAGAGUAUAGUAGAGGAAAGCGGAAUUCCUGGUGUAGCGGUGAAAUGCGCAGAUAUCAGGAAGAACACCAGUGGCGAAAGCGGCUUUCUGGACUGUUACUGACGCUGAGGUGUGAAAGCUAGGGGAGCGAACAG
RNAcentral lists this ribosomal RNA (431 nucleotides) under uncultured bacterium. RNAcentral describes it as "bacterial SSU rRNA". It matches the Rfam family "Bacterial small subunit ribosomal RNA", at positions 352 to 775 of the family's 1533-position model. The record is from RNAcentral.